AGAGUUUGAUCCUGGCUCAGGACGAACGCUGGCGGCGUGCUUAACACAUGCAAGUCGAACGAUGAACCACUUCGGUGGGGAUUAGUGGCGAACGGGUGAGUAACACGUGGGCAAUCUGCCCUUCACUCUGGGACAAGCCCUGGAAACGGGGUCUAAUACCGGAUAACACUUCCACUCUCCUGGGUGGAGGUUAAAAGCUCCGGCGGUGAAGGAUGAGCCCGCGGCCUAUCAGCUUGUUGGUGAGGUAAUGGCUCACCAAGGCGACGACGGGUAGCCGGCCUGAGAGGGCGACCGGCCACACUGGGACUGAGACACGGCCCAGACUCCUACGGGAGGCAGCAGUGGGGAAUAUUGCACAAUGGGCGAAAGCCUGAUGCAGCGACGCCGCGUGAGGGAUGACGGCCUUCGGGUUGUAAACCUCUUUCAGCAGGGAAGAAGCGAAAGUGACGGUACCUGCAGAAGAAGCGCCGGCUAACUACGUGCCAGCAGCCGCGGUAAU
Molecule: ribosomal RNA, 499 nt
Filed under: soil bacterium RFS-I71
Lineage: Bacteria
Description: bacterial SSU rRNA
Rfam family: Bacterial small subunit ribosomal RNA
Source: RNAcentral